This 875-nucleotide ribosomal RNA is filed under the name Neisseria subflava. RNAcentral's name for it is "bacterial SSU rRNA". The stretch from base 1 to 533 matches the Rfam family "Bacterial small subunit ribosomal RNA", at positions 28 to 545 of the family's 1533-position model. The record is from RNAcentral. Lineage: Bacteria; Pseudomonadati; Pseudomonadota; Betaproteobacteria; Neisseriales; Neisseriaceae.
GACGAACGCUGGCGGCGUGCCUAAUACAUGCAAGUAGAACGCUGAAGGAGGAGCUUGCUUCUCCGGAUGAGUUGCGAACGGGUGAGUAACGCGUAGGUAACCUGCCUGGUAGCGGGGGAUAACUAUUGGAAACGAUAGCUAAUACCGCAUAAGAGUAGAUGUUGCAUGACAUUUGCUUAAAAGGUGCAAUUGCAUCACUACCAGAUGGACCUGCGUUGUAUUAGCUAGUUGGUGGGGUAACGGCUCACCAAGGCGACGAUACAUAGCCGACCUGAGAGGGUGAUCGGCCACACUGGGACUGAGACACGGCCCAGACUCCUACGGGAGGCAGCAGUAGGGAAUCUUCGGCAAUGGACGGAAGUCUGACCGAGCAACGCCGCGUGAGUGAAGAGGGUUUUCGGAUCGUAAAGCUCUGUUGUGAGAGAAGAACGAGUGUGAGAGUGGAAAGUUCACACUGUGACGGUAUCUUACCAGAAAGGGACGGCUAACUGCGUGCCUGCAGCCGCGGUUAUACUUAGGUCCCGAGCGUUGUCCGGAUUUAUUGGGGGGUAAAGCGCUUGUAAGGGGUUUAGAUGAUUCUGAGUUUAAGUGUGUGGGUUAACCUUGUACGCUUUGGAAAUGUGUUUAUUUUGAGUGCAGGUGGGGAGAGUGGAAUUUCUGUGGUUGCUGUGAGAUGCUGUGAUUUGUUGAGAAUGAUGGUGUGGUUGUGCUUUCUUUUGUUUGUUGCUGUGUGCUGUGUUUUGGUGGCUGUGUGGUUGUGGUGGAUGGUGUGUGUGUCUGAGAUGUAUGUGUGUGGUGUGGUGUGGGGUGUGGUGUGGUGGUGGUGGGAAUGAAAGUGUGUAUAUUUGUGUGCUUUUUUGUGUGUAUAUGUUGUU